Molecule: long non-coding RNA, 669 nt
Organism: Mus musculus (house mouse)
Lineage: Eukaryota; Metazoa; Chordata; Mammalia; Rodentia; Muridae
Product: predicted gene, 46435
Exons: 4
Source: RefSeq, a predicted model, not a curated record
CUGGUCUCUUUCACCAACUCAUAGCCUACUAGCCAACGUCAGUUCCAGGGAGGCCGGACAUAAGGUAGCCGUCCGAGGAACAUCCUGCUAGCCUUACCAGAACAGUACCCAGCAUGCAGAACGUGACUGUUCUGGUAACUUCUGCUGAAGAGAGGAGUUUGUUGUGUAUGAGAAGCCCUGACAUGUCCUUACAUUCGCUGACAAACCCUGUUGUCCAUCUUCUAUGAUCUUAUCAUUAUAAUGCAGGCCUGCAGAAGAGGGAAGACUGACUUCUAAAACAUCUGUAUAAUUUCCACUUGAGUACUAAGAGGUCAUCUCCAGCUAUGAAGUGCUCAAGAAACUUAGCAAAUGAUUAAACUUUAGACUUGUUAAUAGCAUGUCCUACUGAGCAGUCCAUAGCCGAGUUGGAGGAAAUGUUUCCUGUAGGGGUGAGUUUUGAAACCCUCUUCCUAGCCACUUGGAGGACAGUCUGCUUCCUUUGGAUGAAGAUAUAGAACUCUCAGCUCCUCCUGUGACAUGCCUGCUUAGAAGAUGCCAAGCUCCCACUUGAUGAUAAUGGACUGAACCUCUAAACCUCAGGAGAUCUGUGACUGGACAGUAAAAGGGGAAGCAGAGUGAAGAGUUGCAGAGACAGAGAGCAACUUGGAGGAGAGGAAGAAGCCAAGAUGG